Molecule: ribosomal RNA, 828 nt
Filed under: uncultured bacterium
Lineage: Bacteria
Description: bacterial SSU rRNA
Rfam family: Bacterial small subunit ribosomal RNA
Source: RNAcentral
AGGACGAACGCUGGCGGCGUGCUUAACACAUGCAAGUCGAACGGUCUACCUCGACAGAAACCUUCGGGUUGAAGACGAGAUUUAGAUAGUGGCGGACGGGUGAGUAACACGUGAAUAAUCUGUCCUCAAGUCCGGGAUAACCUGGCGAAAGUCGGGCUAAUCCGGGGUAAGCUGAGAGUGCGGCAUCACACAAUCAGAAAAGGUGGCUCUGCCAUCGUUUGAGGAGGAGUUCGCGGUAGAUUAGCUAGCUGGUGAGGUAAUGGCUCACCAGGGCAACAAUCUAUAGCUGGUCUGAGAGGACGAUCAGUCACACUGGAACUGAGACACGGUCCAGACUCCUACGGGAGGCAGCAGUGGGGAAUCUUCCACAAUGGGCGCAAGCCUGAUGGAGCAACGCCGCGUGAGUGAAGAAGGUCUUAGGAUUGUAAAGCUCUGUCCUUAGGGAAGAACCGUGGGUAUAGCAAAUGAUACCCACCUGACGGUACCUUUGGAGGAAGCACUGGCUAACUACGUGCCAGCAGCCGCGGUAAUACGUAGAGUGCAAGCGUUGUCCGGAAUUAUUGGGCGUAAAGGGUACGCAGGCGGAUAAUCAAGUCAAGCGUGAAAGGUGUCGGCUUAACCGACAGACUGCGUUUGAAACUGAUUAUCUUGAGUGUAACAGAGGAGAGUGGAAUUCCUAGUGUAGUGGUGAAAUACGUAGAUAUUAGGAAGAACACCAGUGGCGAAGGCGACUCUCUGGGUUAACACUGACGCUAAGGUACGAAAGCUGGGGGAGCGAACGGGAUUAGAUACCCGGUANGUCCCAGCCGUAAACGAUGGAUACUAGGU